AUGGAGGGAGCACUUGUCACCUCCAACUUCAGCAUGCCUGAUCUCUACCCUGCCAAAGCCAAUGCUGCUCAUGCUGCGAGAUCGAGGAGGCUCUCCUACAUCUCCCCCGCUGCCUCUUCUGCUGCUGCUCCGAACCCCAGCUACAGAAGGAGGAAGGGCACGUCGCCCCCGCCGCCGUGGGCUGCCGCCACCGCCACCGUCCUCACCUCGCCGCCCAAGCCGGUCGAGCAACAAGAAACGGAAGAGCACCUGGUCGACACGUCCGUGAACAAUGCAACUGGUACACGAGUUGCUACCGCGAGAACGAGCAGGGCAUCCGAUGCGCCGCGCCAGGCGGCUCGGUCGUCCAGGCCUCGCCGCCGGCCCGUCACUUCGCUACAGGCGGCGUUCUGCAACGCGCUGGAGGAGGCGAUCAACACGUUCGUCGACCCGCCGGUGCUGCGUCCGUCGGUGGACCCGCGGCACGUGCUGUCCGCCAACUUCGCGCCCGUGGACGAGCUGCCGCCCACGCCCUGCCCCGUGGUGCGCGGCGUCAUCCCGCGCUGCCUCGCCGGCGGCGCCUACAUCCGCAACGGGCCCAACCCGCAGCAUCUCCCGCGCGGGCCGCACCACCUCUUCGACGGCGACGGCAUGCUGCACUCCCUGCUCCUCCCGACGGCGCCCGACUCCGACCCCGUCCUCUGCUCCCGCUACGUGCAGACGUACAAGUACAUCGUGGAGCGCAACGCGGGCGAGCCGGUCUUGCCCAACGUCUUCUCCGGCUUCCACGGCCUGGCCGGGAUGGCGCGCGGCGCCGUCACGGCGGCCAGGGUGCUGACAGGCCAGAUGAACCCGAUGGAGGGCGUGGGGCUCGCCAACACCAGCCUCGCCGUCUUCGGCGGCCGCCUCUACGCACUCGGCGAGUCGGACCUCCCGUACGCCGUGCGCGUCGACCCGGCCACCGGUGAGGUGACCACGCUCGGCAGGUGCGACUUCGGUGGCCGCCUCAGCAUGGGCAUGACCGCGCACCCCAAGAAGGACCCCAUCACCGGCGAGCUCUUCGCGUUCCGCUACGGCCCCAUGCCGCCGUUCGUCACCUAUUUCCGGUUCGACCCUGCAGGGAACAAGGGCGCCGACGUGCCCAUCUUCUCCGUGAAGCAACCGUCUUUCCUGCACGACUUCGCCGUGACGGAGCAUUAUGCGAUAUUCCCGGAGAUACAAAUCGUGAUGAACCCCAUGGGCAUGGUGGUGGGCGGCGGCUCGCCCGUCGGGGCGGACCCCGGCAUGGUGCCUCGCCUCGGCGUGAUCCCCAAGUACGCCGCGGACGAGUCGGAGAUGCGGUGGUUCGAGGUGCCGGGGUUCAACAUGAUGCACUCGGUGAACGCGUGGGAGGAGGCCGGCGGCGACGAGAUCGUGAUGGUGGCACCCAACAUCCUGUCCAUCGAGCACACGCUGGAGCGCAUGGAGCUGAUCCACGCCUCCGUGGAGCUGGUGCGCAUCAACCUCCGCACCGGCAACGUCACACGCACGCCGCUCGCGGCGGCGAACCUCGACUUCGGGGUGAUCAACCCGAGCUGCCUCGGCCGCCGCAACCGCUACGGCUACUUCGGUGUUGGCGACCCCAUGCCCAAGAUCGGCGGGGUGGCCAAGCUCGACUUCGACCGCGCUGGCCACGGCGACUGCACCGUGGCGCGCCGGGACUUCGGGCCGGGGUGCUUCGCCGGGGAGCCGUUUUUCGUCCCUGAUGACGUCGAGGGGAACGGCGACGAGGACGACGGCUACGUGGUGUGCUACGUGCACGACGAGGGCACCGGCGACAACAGGUUCGUGGUGAUGGACGCGCAGUCGCCCGACCUGGACAUCGUCGCCGAGGUGCAGCUUCCCUCCCGCGUCCCCUACGGCUUCCACGGCCUAUUCGUCACUCAGGCCGAGCUCCGGUCACAGCACCAAUGA
Molecule: ribosomal RNA, 1932 nt
Filed under: Triticum aestivum (bread wheat)
Lineage: Eukaryota; Viridiplantae; Streptophyta; Magnoliopsida; Poales; Poaceae
Description: partial small subunit ribosomal RNA
Source: RNAcentral